Molecule: ribosomal RNA, 464 nt
Filed under: uncultured archaeon
Lineage: Archaea
Description: bacterial SSU rRNA
Rfam family: Archaeal small subunit ribosomal RNA
Source: RNAcentral
CGUGCGAAGGGGCUAUCUCGAGUGCCACCUGAUGAAGGUGGCUUUUCCUAGGUCUAAAAAGCCUUGGGAAUAAGAGGGGGGCAAGACUGGUGUCAGCCGCCGCGGUAACACCAGCCCCUCGAGUGGUGGGGAUGAUUAUUGGGCCUAAAGCGUCCGUAGCCUGCCGUAUAAGUUUCCCGUUAAAUCCAGCGUCUCAAGCGUUGGACUGCGGGAAAUACUGUACGGCUAGAGAGUGGGAGAGGUCAGCGGUAUUCUGGGGGUAGGGGCGAGAUCCUUUGAUCCCCGGAGGACCACCAGUGGCGAAGGCUGCUGACUAGAACACGUCUGACGGUCAGGGACGAAAGCUGGGGUAGCGAACCGGAUUAGAUACCCGGGUAGUCCCAGCCGUAAACGAUGCAUGCUAGGUGUUGGGUUGGCCACGAGCCACCCCAGUGCCGCAGGGAAGCCGUUAAGCAUGCCGCCUG